UUAAAAACUGAGAAAAGGAAAAGUAUUUAAGAUGUAUACUUUAAAGAGAGUGGUGUUUGGUGAAAAUCCAUAGGUUAAGUCUUAAAGAAAAUCACCUUGGAGUUGAAUGCUGAAAUAAUAGUAAGCUUAUCCGUAAUCCUGCGUUAAAGGAUAGAGCAUAGUUGUGCUUGAAUAUUUUAUACCAUAGGUGGUAAAGCGAAGACAUAUAACUUCGCCCUAAUA
RNAcentral lists this non-coding RNA (222 nucleotides) under Clostridium tetanomorphum. RNAcentral describes it as "T-box sequence". It matches the Rfam family "T-box leader". From Rfam's summary of the family: Uncharged tRNA acts as the effector for transcription antitermination of genes in the T-box leader family. Lineage: Bacteria; Bacillati; Bacillota; Clostridia; Eubacteriales; Clostridiaceae. The record is from RNAcentral.